Molecule: long non-coding RNA, 818 nt
Organism: Daucus carota subsp. sativus
Lineage: Eukaryota; Viridiplantae; Streptophyta; Magnoliopsida; Apiales; Apiaceae
Exons: 2
Source: RefSeq, a predicted model, not a curated record
CUCAAAACACAACUUCAAGUUGCGUUUCAGCGGAAAACCACGACUUCAAGUUGCUUUUUAUCUGAAACCACCACUUUAAGUUGCGUUUUUGUAAACACGACAAAAAGUUGUUUUUUGAAGUAAUAUUUUGGGUAUUUUUUCAGAAAGUGACAAUAGAGGGCUUUUGCUGCUGAAUAGUGACAUUUGUGGUCGACACCCCAUCGAGUCUCAGUCCACCGCCUCUAUUUCAUGUCACUCGAUACUAUUUUCUCCCUUCCCUCUCGAGUUCAUCUCUUUCUUACAUGCAAGGGUCAAUUCGUUUCUAAUGAUGAUCUAAACUCAUGAUUAUGUUAUAUCUCACCCUGUGUGCGUUUGUCGUGUGCUUUUGUUCAACGAUGUGUGUGUGUAUGUAUACAUGACGGUACUGAAUAAUGGUGAAAUUCUUCCGGUCAUUGCUUCAAAUUUUGGGGAAAUCUUGCUCUAAGUCGAGAUGGCGGAAUUCUGCGGUUAAACGUUGGGUUUGGCUCUUUUGCCAAACAACGCCUAAAGAUAUUAAAUACAUUAUCUAAUAUAUUUGUGUUGAAUCCUUCAUUGGUAUCAGAGCUUUGGUGGGUUCUAUAUGGAAUUUGUUACCUUGGAGGCGGCGUUUAUUCCAUGUGUUAUAAUAAAUCGGAGUGUUGUCUACUUUGGCUUCGGUUCAGUUUAACAAUUUUUGGUUUUAUCCCAGACUUGAUACAUUUGUGUUGCAUGCAGUUUGUGUCUUGAGGUUUGACGUGUCUCUUUAGCCUAUUGCUUAUAUCCUCUUCGUUUUUUAUAUUAUUCAUUCAUAUCUUGUAUUA